GUACUAGCUACGGCGGUACAUAUUGUAAAAUUGGAACGAUACAGAGAAGAUUAGCAUGGCCCCUGCGUAAGGAUGACAUGUGUGUGUGUGUGUGUGUGUGUGUGUGU
Non-coding RNA from Octopus bimaculoides (California two-spot octopus), 107 nucleotides. The record is from Rfam. Lineage: Eukaryota; Metazoa; Mollusca; Cephalopoda; Octopoda; Octopodidae.